UAUAUAUAAAAUCCUGUAGAUCUGAGUUCACCAAUUAUUGCUGUUAAUGCUACUGUUUUGUGGGAAAAUUGUGCCAGCAAUUUUUUGUUGUUCUUAUUUUGUGAUAAAUAUAGAAUUGUGAUAACCUCUUUUCAUAUAUUCAAAAAGAUCUCUUUCACAGGGUAAAAAAUACCAAAAUUGACCCUUUCAAACAGAUUUAUUAUCAAUUAAUCAAACUUUAAACUCAACAACUAUAAUCCUCUUUCAGGAUAAUGAGAGGAAUUUAAAGCUUUUACUUAAAUCAUUUCCAUAUUUACAAAAAGAUGGCUGAAUAAGAUAAACUGAUUUUUCACUUUAUACAUUAAGGGAGUUUGCUUCUCAGUUUCAAAAUAAUUAGCUUUUCAAAACACUAGUUUAUAUUGAUAGGGGAUUAAUAAAGGAAUCAAAAGAGCAAAAAAACUAUAUAGGUCAAUGUGCUUGUUUUUGAAUAUUUGAAAUUUUGGUGGGAAAAUGUUGUCUCUUGACUUUUUAUAGUUUAGUCAUUGACAAGUUUAAGUUCUCAAAAACUAUUAAAAAAUAAUUAAAAUUCUGUAAGACUAUUACAGAUGGCUUAUAAUUAAAUAUGUAAAAGAUUUAUAAAAAGAAAUGAUGGGGGUCAAUGGGCAAUUUAUUUAAUGCAUUCAAAUUGAUAAAACCAGAGGAUUUCGAAAAUCUGACAAGAAUUCCAAAACAUGACAAGCAAACCUCCUUAAAAUCUCUGUUGAAAUGUACCAACAUAUGCAUGAUGAAUAUAUGGAGAGUUGUCUCAUUGGCACUUAUUACACAUCUUCUUAUAUCAGUAUGUGAAUAAUUUACAUAUUGUUAUGUUAGGAACUUUUAUAGCUUGAAAUGAGAUAAGUUUUAUCAUUUUUGUCAUUUUUACACCCUAUAGUUGCCGACUGCUAUGUAAUUUGGUCUCUUGUGGAUUUUUGUCUCAUUAACAAUCAUAACACAUCUCCAUAUUUCAUAAGACCUUUUUAAAUGAACACAUGAAAGGAUACCCAAAAAAUUUGAUGAUCUACCUUUAAAAUGAUUAUAUAACUUCAUGGGCAUAUGAUCUCAAAGUAAGUAAAGUUAUAAAUAUCUGAUCAGUCAUUUAGAUGUUGUGCUGGCCAGAGACUAUCAACACUUAUAUUGCAAAGUUGAAAUAUUUCAGUUUGAUUAAUUUUCUCCCCUGUAAUAUACAUGCAGUUACUAGCAAUAGCCUGUUUAUCAACUAACAAAAGAAUAUCCUAACUCUUAAAAUUCAUUAUCUCCCUAUGUUAGACCAGUUUAAUAUUCCUUAAUGCAAUUUCUCAUGUUGUAUUUUACAACUGUGUUAAAUUUCAUCAUUAUCCAUCUAUCCAUUUUGGACAAGUUGAGCUGAAAAUGCAGACAGCUAGACUGACAGGGGUUUUUUAUGUUUGAGAGAAUGAAUUUAAAAAUGCAUAUAAAUUUUUUGAAAGUAUAAGAACUAUUCAAACAUAUCAUAAGGGUGUCCUAAAGAGGAAAACUGUCACACUCAUGGUGCCUCUUAUUAAGGGGUUAUCCUGUCAUUUUCAAAAGCAGGUACUAAUUAAAUAUGUAUAUUUUUUAGAAUGUUUGUUAUUGAUACUUGUGUUAUAUAUAUAUAUAUAGAUGUUUAUGAGUGAUUUUUAGUGUACAUAUUGUUAACAAAUGAUUAUAAGUAUGAUUCAUCGUAUUUAUUGUGAAUAAAACAGUAAAUGACAAUUAAUACCUCCAACUUUUUUAUGGAUAAGGGGAUUAGAUAAUUUUAGAUAAUUUUAUGAAUCAUCAAAGCAGCAGAGGACAGACGAAAUAAAGUUUUUGAGGACUAUUUUAAAUUAGCACAUGAUUAUUAGUAAUACACAAGUACAAGAAAUAUAAAUGAAUUGAAUUUAGGGAUUUUUUCUUUUGUCUGAAAAAAAUAUGUAUAUUCAUAUUAUAAUUUUAAAUUGUAAACACUAUAAAUGAGUUACAAAUCUUAAUUUAUAUUCUGU
This 1997-nucleotide long non-coding RNA is filed under the name Mytilus galloprovincialis (Mediterranean mussel). Lineage: Eukaryota; Metazoa; Mollusca; Bivalvia; Mytilida; Mytilidae. The record is from RNAcentral.